GUGUCAGCAGCCGCGGUAACACGUAGGGUGCAAGCGUUGUCCGGAUUUAUUGGGCGUAAAGGGCUCGUAGGCGGUUCGACAAGUCGGGUGUGAAACCUCCAGGCUCAACCUGGAGUCGCCACUCGAAACUGUUGUGACUGGAGUCCGGUAGGGGAGCAUGGAAUUCCUGGUGUAGCGGUGGAAUGCGCAGAUAUCAGGAGGAACACCAGUGGCGAAGGCGAUGCUCUGGGCCGGUACUGACGCUGAGGAGCGAAAGCAUGGGGAGCGAACAGGAUUAGAAACCCUGGUAGUCC
This 293-nucleotide ribosomal RNA is filed under the name uncultured bacterium. Its description in RNAcentral is "partial 16S ribosomal RNA". It matches the Rfam family "Bacterial small subunit ribosomal RNA", at positions 505 to 796 of the family's 1533-position model. The record is from RNAcentral.